ACUGAGGAUAAUACCCCAUAGCCCUGGGAUGCUGGAAUGCACCCAGGGUGAAAGCCCCGGCGUCUGAGGAUGCAUCUGCGGCCUAUCAGGUUGUAGUGGGGAUAAAGGCCCCACUAGCCGACGACGGGUACGGGCCUUGAGAGAGGGAGCCCGGAGAUGGACUCUGAGACACGAGUCCAGGCCCUACGGGGCGCAGCAGGCGCGAAAACUACGCAAUGCACGAAAGUGCGACGUGGGAACUCCAAGUGCUCAUGCGUUUCGACGUGUGGGCUUUUCUCAAGUGUAAAUAACUUGAGGAAUAAGGGCUGGGUAAGACCGGUGCCAGCCGCCGCGGUAAUACCGGCGGCCCAAGUGGCGAUCGUUAUUAUUGGGUCUAAAGCGUCCGUAGCCGGCCGGGUAAAUCCUUAGAUAAAUCGAACAGCUCAACUGUUCGGCUUCUUGGGAGACUGCUCGGCUUGAAACCGGGAGAGGUCAGAGGUACUCUUGGGGUAGGGGUGAAAUCCUGUAAUCCUGAGGGGACCACCAGUGGCGAAGGCGUCUGACUUGAACGGCUUUGACGGUGAGGGACGAAGGCCAGGGGCGCAAACCGGAUUAGAUACCCGGGUAGUCCUGGCUGUAAACGCUGCGGGCUUGGUGUUGGGGGUCCCACGAGGGCACCCAGUGCCGGAGAGAAGUUGUUAAGCCCGCCACCUGGGGAGUACGGCCGCAAGGCUGAAACUUAAAGGAAUUGGCGGGGGAGCACUACAACGGGUGGAGCCUGCGGUUUAAUUGUCAUAGCAUGUUUUCCUGAUGAA
RNAcentral lists this ribosomal RNA (794 nucleotides) under uncultured archaeon. RNAcentral's name for it is "bacterial SSU rRNA". It matches the Rfam family "Archaeal small subunit ribosomal RNA", at positions 139 to 938 of the family's 1478-position model. The record is from RNAcentral.